Homo sapiens (human) is the source of this 1061-nucleotide long non-coding RNA. Ensembl annotates it as long intergenic non-protein coding RNA 2241. Lineage: Eukaryota; Metazoa; Chordata; Mammalia; Primates; Hominidae. The record is from Ensembl.
GUACAAGCUCUCGCCUGCCGCCAUGUAAACGUUCUUUGCUCCUGCUUCGUCUUCUGCCGUGAUUGUGAGGCCUCCCCAGCCAUGUGGAACUACUCAUCACUCACUGCAGAUGUUACUUUAAGACAUUCUGGAGCAGCGUCAUGUGCAGCUAUAUUAUUUCCCUUAUGUUGGACCAUAAAUCUAAAAUUGUAAUUAAAUGUCCAUCCUCCAAAAACGGAAAUGCAAGCAUGUACAUGUCUUUAGAGGUGCGUAGUGCCUCCGCCCAUCUCUCUCUUGCUCCUGGUCUCAUCGUGACGGGCCUGGUCCUGCCUCACUUUAUGCCACGACUAAGAGCUCCCUGAGGCCUCUCCAGAAGCAGAUAUCACUAUGCUUCCUACACAGCCUGCAGAACCGAACAAUAAGGAAGUGAGUGCUUUUGUAAUUCCUGAACAACUGUGUCUUACACUUACUAAGGCAAUCUGGGUGUUAUGAAAGAUGUAGACCAACAGAAACACUCAUACCUUUCUGGUGACAAUAAAACUUUGUACAUUUAUUUUGGAAAACCCUAUUUUAGUGCCUUAUAAAAUUGAGCAUUAGAUAAUUAUGGCCCAGAUGCUCCAACGAGAAGUGUAUACUUAAGAGAUGAAUGCCUGUGUGCACCAGAAGACAUGCACAGACAGGCAUGAUUAUAACAACUUUAUUCAUAACAGACCUGAAUUGCAUCAAAUGUUCAACAAAUGAAUAGAUAAACAAAUUAUGCUAUAUAUUAAUAGGAAGGAAUACUACUCAAAAAAAAUAGGCAAACUGCAGACAACAUUUUAAAAUAUAUUGAGUUAAAGAAAUGAGAUACAGAAAAGUACAUACUGCAUGAUACAAUUUAUAUGAAAUUCAAAGACAAGCAAAUGAAUCUAUGGUGAUAGAUCUGGAAGUCAGUAACUGAAAAAGAGCAUGAAAGUAUCUUGGGUCAGGGCAAUGCUAGGUGUCUUGAGAAACAUAGUAAUUUCCUUGGUGUAUAGAAUUGUAAUAUAUCAUCAAGCUCAAGAAUAUGUCUUAUUCAAUAACAAUAACAAAACAAGUAAAAA